GAUGAACGCUAGCUACAGGCUUAACACAUGCAAGUCGAGGGGCAGCAUGCAGGUAGCUUGCUAUCUGUGAUGGCGACCGGCGCACGGGUGAGUAACGCGUAUCCAACCUUCCCCGUAGUAGGGCACAGCCCGGCGAAAGUCGGAUUAAUUCCCUAUGUUCUCCAAUGCAGACAUCUAAGUUGGAGCAAAGAUUCGUCGCUAUGGGAUGGGGAUGCGUCUGAUUAGGUUGUCGGCGGGGUAACGGCCCACCGAGCCUGCGAUCAGUAGGGGUUCUGAGAGGAAGGUCCCCCACAUUGGAACUGAGACACGGUCCAAACUCCUACGGGAGGCAGCAGUGAGGAAUAUUGGUCAAUGGAGGCAACUCUGAACCAGCCAAGUAGCGUGCAGGACGACGGCCCUAUGGGUUGUAAACUGCUUUUAUAAGGGGAUAAAGGAUGCCACGUGUGGUGUUUUGCAUGUACCUUAUGAAUAAGGACCGGCUAAUUCCGUGCCAGCAGCCGCGGUAAUACGGAAGGUCCGGGCGUUAUCCGGAUUUAUUGGGUUUAAAGGGAGCGCAGGCGGGCGAUUAAGCGUGACGUGAAAUGCAGCGGCUCAACCGUAUGAAGUGCGUCGCGAACUGGUUUGCCUUGAGUGAGUUCGACGUGCGCGGAAUUCGUGUGUAGCGUGAAAUGCUUAGAUAUCACGAGGACUCGAUGCGAGCAGCGCACGAGCCUUACUGACGCUAAGCUCGAAAGGUGCGGUAUUCGACAGGAUUAAGAAUA
This 761-nucleotide ribosomal RNA is filed under the name uncultured bacterium. RNAcentral's name for it is "bacterial SSU rRNA". It matches the Rfam family "Bacterial small subunit ribosomal RNA", at positions 28 to 784 of the family's 1533-position model. The record is from RNAcentral.